This is a non-coding RNA of Nomia melanderi (Alkali bee), 2560 nucleotides long. Lineage: Eukaryota; Metazoa; Arthropoda; Insecta; Hymenoptera; Halictidae. The record is from RefSeq and is a predicted model, not a curated record.
UAUAGAAGUUGUAUGAAACGUUGCUUUCUGUUAGUCGAUCGCGAACUGUGUAAUAGUAACAGUGCCAACGAAAAGUGUAAAAUGUGAUCUUCUAAAUAUUUUCUGUAUUUAUAAAUCAACGUGGCUAAAUAUUCUUUCACAGUCAGUGUAUUAUAUAUCUUUAUGCAAAUUAUAAUUGUUACAAAUCAUAGUUAUUACAGAUUAUAGUUAUUUUCUUCAUAUUCCCUACGAUGUAACUACUGUCAAAACGCGACAGAAAUGUCUGCUAAUGUGCAUAGCGGUCAAGAUUACGAUUCACUACACCGAAUUCUGAACAACUGGCUGCAUACGUGUAUCAAGGUGCACCAGAGUUUUUCGAGGUUGUCCCAUCGACCGUUGUUCUUAUCGCUAUUUUCGCGGUAUCGGAAAAUGGUAAUUGCGACACGAUGGAAGGAUGAUCUAGUUUUGACCAGCAAAACAAACGAGUCUGCCGUUUGACAACACAAACGUAACAGUUGUGACUAUCUUCCCGUGACAUGGACCAUUUGUCAAUCGAUCAAUGGGCACACCGUUGGCAAGGCAAAAUGCACUGGGGAUAAUGGACAGUGUAUGCGACUACGCACCGAACGUUUCACGAAGUGACAUGGCAGGAUUAUUAUCCAAGACUUUAACAUGAUGACCAACACGGUGGUCAUCGAUAGCUGGACUAUACUAAAUUGUUUGAAAACAGUGGCAACAAGUAGAUUGCCGUCGAAUUUAGUAACGUAAGUAACUAGAAAAUAGCGUGACUUUGACACUGCGAUACCAAGCCAAUAAUAAUCGAGUCGCUCAGAAGCCAAUGCGGUUAAAUUCAGAAAACAGAAAUUAAAAAUAUUAAUGUUUUUUAAAAUAUAAUUAUGAUAUCCUUUAAUACCUAAUAACUCCCAGUAAAUUCUUUAAUACCUGGAAAGAAUAUUACUUAUUCCAUUAAAAUUUACAAAAAUCCGGAAAUAUCAAAAACUCGACUUAACCGUAUUGGCUUCUGAGCGCCUCCGUUGUUUCUAGUACCAUUUGUCAUGGUUACGAGAGAAUGUGUGUUAAUAUACGAAAACGCUAAAAAUUCUCAUGUACAUAAUGAAAGCGUUAAACGUUUUCAAUGAGAUUUCCAUGAUUCACGAGUCACAUGUCACGAAGGGUGAAUAAAAUAACGCGCAAAUGUGACUCGAAGUUUUCUUCUCGCUGAUACCAACUCUGGGAGCCGCCCCGACGACAGGGCAAACUCGAUCGGUGGAAUCGGCUGCGUGAAAGGCGGGCCAAGAACAAAAGGGGAGAAUAGGAGGAACGGGGUAACACUAGGCGCACGGUAAAUUAUCGCGUUCGGGCUAAAUAGUAACGAGGGAUCUGGCGCUCGCAUUUCUUUCACGUGCGUGCAAGGAGACCUUUGUUUCACGCGGACAAAGGUGGUCGCGUUUACGUGCAAGCGAUGCAUCGCGCAGUGUGAACGCCUGCGGCCCUUCGCCUUGACGAGCAGUCAUUGAAACGGUGCAAAAUGAUCCGGAUGCUGUUGGAAGAUAACGUUCGCGAAAAAAGAGAAAAACCGGGAGAACGGGCCGCUGGAACAACUCUGCAGAAAAAACUCUCCGGUUCGAUCGGAUGUUACCGUAUCGUUGAUCGUAAGCAGACCGCGAAUGGAUCUUUGUGCAGAUUCGAACAUUUAGGAAUGUAAUUAGAAAAAACGGUGUUAUUGUUAACCCUCUACAGGACUGUGUGACUAUGAAGUCACUAAUUAACACUAACACUACCGUAACAGUCAUUCUGAUAACAAACUUCGGUUUGUUUGUUUCGCUAUUAUUGAUAUCUUCGAAGCAUUGGAUAUUUGAAUGCUUUUUGAAAAUAAAUAGUUCCACUUAAAUACUAGAAUGAAUGGCUGAAGAUACUAGAAAUGAUCUAUUGUUAUAAUUAUUAUAGGGAUUACGUGCCAAUCGUAUGAAAUGCUCGGUAGUUCUAGUGUUAAUUAACUUAAAGUUUUAUACGCUCAGCCGUGACAGUUCCAUAUUAUUGUAAUUUCAAAAUUACAAGGUAUAUUUGUUUUAAUAUAAUAUUCAUAUGUAUUCCUCACUUUAAAUACACAAAUUUAUGCGGUAAAUUGUACUGUGAAUUUAUGCAAAAGAAUUUCCACGAAUGAUUUAAAUGCUGGUUAUCAAAGUUUUGUCGCAGUGAAAUUCUACGUGGAAUGUUUUAUUAUGCAGAAUGAAAGGCCGCUCGUGACAAUUCGAUUAUCGAUUCAGACAGUAGAGGGCAGUGAGACUUCUUAUAUGUGGCAAGCCAAACGGGAAACCACUUUCGUACUAACCAAAAGAAGCUGAACGAGUACGGUAAAUCACUGUCCGCGGCACGCAUUCCAAACGCCCAACUUUUUAGUCCUGUACAGGUCCACAAGGUCUUUAAAAAUCUUCUUUAAGGAAUUUUUUCUUUCAUUCGCGGAAAGUUCGAUCUGCUGCAAGUAAUUUAUAAUGUACUGUGUUUAAACAUCUUUAAAAUUAAAUAAUAUAUAGUAUAUAAUUAUAUUAUAAUAGUAUAACAAAAUGAUGGAUACACGAUA